This 829-nucleotide ribosomal RNA is filed under the name uncultured bacterium. RNAcentral describes it as "bacterial SSU rRNA". It matches the Rfam family "Bacterial small subunit ribosomal RNA", at positions 52 to 877 of the family's 1533-position model. The record is from RNAcentral.
UACAUGCAAGUCGAGCGAGGAAAGUAGCAAUACUUUUCGAGCGGCGAACGGGUGAGUAACACGUUGGGAAUCUACCCCUGAGACCGGAAUACCUGGAAGAAAUUUCAGCUAAUGCCGGAUACGUGGUCAACACAGAAGUGAUGAUCAUAAAAGGCGGCCUUAAAGCCGCGCUGAGGGAUGAACCUGCGGCGCAUUAGCUAGUUGGUGAGAUAAAAGCCCACCAAGGCGAGGAUGCGUAGCCGACCUGAGAGGGUGAACGGCCACACUGGAACUGAGACACGGUCCAGACUCCUACGGGAGGCAGCAGUAGGGAGUAUUCGGCAAUGGGGGAAACCCUGACCGAGCAACGCCGCGUGAAUGACGAAGGUCUUCGGAUUGUAAAAUUCUGUGGUAAGAGAAGAAAGAUAUAAAGAGGAAAUGCUUUGUAUUUGACGGUAUCUUGCUAGAAAGCCACGGCUAACUACGUGCCAGCAGCCGCGGUAAUACGUAGGUGGCAAGCGUUAUCCGGAAUUACUGGGCGUAAAGAGUGAGCAGGCGGUUAGAUAAGUCUAUGGUUAAAUGCAACAGCUCAACUGUUGUUCGCUAUAGAAACUAUUUAACUAGAGUGCGGGAGAGGUAAGUGGAACUCCAUAUGUAGCGGUGGAAUGCUUAGAUAUAUGGAAGAACACCAGAGGCGAAGGCGGCUUACCAGUCCGUAACUGACGCUCAGUCACGAAAGCGUGGGGAGCAAAUAGGAUUAGAUAUCCUAGUAGUCCACGCCGUAAACGAUGAGAACCUGAUGCAGGAGAUAUUCUGUGUCGAAGCUAACGCGUUAAGUUCUCCGCCUGGG